UACGUAGGGUGCAAGCGUUAAUCGGAAUUACUGGGCGUAAAGCGUGCGCAGGCGGUUAUUUAAGGCAGGUGUGAAAUCCCCGGGCUUAACCUGGGAACUGCAUUUGUGACUGCAUAGCUAGAGUACGGUAGAGGGGGAUGGAAUUCCGCGUGUAGCAGUGAAAUGCGUAGAUAUGCGGAGGAACACCGAUGGCGUAGGCAGCCCCCUGGGUCAAGACUGACGCUCAUGCACGAAAGCGUGGGGAGCAAACAGG
This 253-nucleotide ribosomal RNA is filed under the name uncultured bacterium. Its description in RNAcentral is "partial 16S ribosomal RNA". It matches the Rfam family "Bacterial small subunit ribosomal RNA", at positions 524 to 776 of the family's 1533-position model. The record is from RNAcentral.